GCUGCCCACCAAGCAUCUCUGUGUCUUCUUCUUCCAGCUCCCUUGGAGUGAGAGCAGCUAAAAGGAAAGAAAUGUUCUAAGCAGACCAAUAAAUUAAGGAUGUGGCACCGCAUGAAGCAGGAGAACAAAUAUAUCUGGAUCCGAGGAAGAGAAUAAUCUUUGGAAACCACCUGAAUUUCCAGGAAUACCUCACAGUAUCUGUCUGAUGGAAGUUGCAUUACAGAACCUCUGAGCCCCUGCACAAAGACAACAUAAUUUACACCAGCAUAAGUUCAGCUGUAGCCAUGGUGUCAUCAAGCAAGCCUGGAAUUAGAGAACUUACAGAGCAACAACAAUUACCCUUAUUGAAAGGAAAUGUCACUCAAGAGUUUUAAGAGAAAACAGCUCAGAUAAUACCUCAAAAAAAGAAACUAAAGAAGGUAUUAUACAUUUGCAACCACUCAUACAAAUGAUUAAAGAAGAAUAGGAUGGAGAUACUGAUUCAAUAAAUGUACACUUUACAGCAUGAAUUCUCUUGAUUCACCUAUGGUUAAUUAAUUCAUAAGA
This is a long non-coding RNA of Pseudopipra pipra, 546 nucleotides long. RefSeq lists it as uncharacterized. The transcript is spliced from 3 exons. NCBI's taxonomy places the organism in Eukaryota, Metazoa, Chordata, Aves, Passeriformes, Pipridae. The record is from RefSeq and is a predicted model, not a curated record.